AGAGCGAACGCUGGCGGCGUGCUUAACACAUGCAAGUCGAACGCGCAGCAUUCUGUAGCAAUACAGGGUGUGGGCGCGUGGCGAACGGGUGCGUAACACGUGGAUAACCUUCCUUCAGGUGGGGAAUAACCCAGUGAAAAUUGGGCUAAUACCGCAUAACAAAACGAUGAGACAUCUUGUUGUUUUCAAAGGCGCAAGUCGCCAGAAGAGGGAUCCGCGGCCGAUUAGCUUGUUGGCGAGGUAAUGGCUCACCAAGGCAAUGAUCGGUAGCCGGACUGAGAGGUUGGCCGGCCACACUGGAACUGAGACACGGUCCAGACUCCUACGGGAGGCAGCAGUGGGGAAUCUUGCACAAUGGGCGAAAGCCUGAUGCAGCAACGCCGCGUGGGGGAUGAAGCUUCUCGGAGUGUAACCCCUUUCGACCCGGAAGAAGCCCGCAAGGGUUUGACGGUACGGGUAUAAGAAGCCCCGGCUAACUACGUGCCAGCAGCCGCGGUAAU
RNAcentral lists this ribosomal RNA (500 nucleotides) under uncultured bacterium. RNAcentral's name for it is "SSU rRNA". It matches the Rfam family "Bacterial small subunit ribosomal RNA", at positions 26 to 524 of the family's 1533-position model. The record is from RNAcentral.